GAUGAACGCUGGCGGCGUGCCUAAUACAUGCAAGUCGAGCGAACAGAUGAGGAGCUUGCUCCUCUGACGUUAGCGGCGGACGGGUGAGUAACACGUGGAUAACCUACCUAUAAGACUGGGAUAACUUCGGGAAACCGGAGCUAACACCGGAUAAUAUAUUGAACCGCAUGGUUCAAUAGUGAAAGACGGUUUUGCUGUCACUUAUAGAUGGAUCCGCGCCGCAUUAGCUAGUUGGUAAGGUAACGGCUUACCAAGGCAACGAUGCGUAGCCGACCUGAGAGGGUGAUCGGCCACACUGGAACUGAGACACGGUCCAGACUCCUACGGGAGGCAGCAGUAGGGAAUCUUCCGCAAAGGGCGAAAGCCUGACGGAGCAACGCCGCGUGAGUGAUGAAGGUCUUCGGAUCGUAAAACUCUGUUAUUAGGGAAGAACAAAUGUGUAAGUAACUAUGCACGUCUUGACGGUACCUAAUCAGAAAGCCACGGCUAACUACGUG
This 497-nucleotide ribosomal RNA is filed under the name uncultured bacterium. Its description in RNAcentral is "partial 16S ribosomal RNA". It matches the Rfam family "Bacterial small subunit ribosomal RNA", at positions 28 to 507 of the family's 1533-position model. The record is from RNAcentral.